AGAAAAGAAACAGAAAUGAACCUCAAAUGUCUCUUGGCUAACCAUCACUGUUGGCAAUCUCUGGGCGAUCUGCGGGAGGGAAAACUGAAACCCAAUCCUGAGUGCUUUCUCCAUUGAACAUCUAGGACCAGAACCCACGCUUGACUGCAAGCCCAGUGCACUUUCCCCUGAUUAGAAAUGUUUCCAGAUUUAAACUCCAGUUUAUAGGCUCAUUAACAUCCCUCACUAAAGAUGAGGCAAGAGGUUUCAAAUUCUUCUCAGAAGGGAAAAACGAACUGACAUUGGAAGGUUUGGCUAUGCUGAAGGACCGUCCAAAGGUCAGCAAGCUGUCUACUGGUGAAUGGAUGCCCAUUGAGAAGCCAACGGCUAUUACUGAGCUUGUGGAAAUCCCCAGCUCCCCUCUGCGGGAGUAUUCCAUC
Long non-coding RNA from Tupaia belangeri chinensis (Chinese tree shrew), 419 nucleotides. RefSeq lists it as uncharacterized. Lineage: Eukaryota; Metazoa; Chordata; Mammalia; Scandentia; Tupaiidae. The record is from RefSeq and is a predicted model, not a curated record. The transcript has 3 exons.